RNAcentral lists this ribosomal RNA (423 nucleotides) under uncultured bacterium. RNAcentral's name for it is "bacterial SSU rRNA". It matches the Rfam family "Bacterial small subunit ribosomal RNA", at positions 355 to 776 of the family's 1533-position model. The record is from RNAcentral.
UGGGGAAUAUUGGACAAUGGGCGGAAGCCUGAUCCAGCAACGCCGCGUGAGGGAUGACGGCCUUCGGGUUGUAAACCUCUUUCGCCUAUGACGAAGGCUCUGCUUUUUGGUGGGGUUGACGGUAGUGGGAGAAGAAGGACCGGCCAACUACGUGCCAGCAGCCGCGGUAAUACGUAGGGUCCGAGCGUUGUCCGGAAUUAUUGGGCGUAAAGGGCUCGUAGGCGGUUUGUCGCGUCGGGAGUGAAAUCCUACAGCUUAACUGUGGGCUUGCUUUCGAUACGGGCAGACUAGAGGUAUGCAGGGGAGAAUGGAAUUCCUGGUGUAGCGGUGAAAUGCGCAGAUAUCAGGAGGAACACCGGUGGCGAAGGCGGUUCUCUGGGCAUUACCUGACGCUGAGGAGCGAAAGUGUGGGGAGCGAACAGG